Molecule: long non-coding RNA, 464 nt
Filed under: Elaeis guineensis (African oil palm)
Lineage: Eukaryota; Viridiplantae; Streptophyta; Magnoliopsida; Arecales; Arecaceae
Description: long non-coding RNA (EGUI_LNC035537)
Source: RNAcentral
CACUUCAAUAUUAGUAGAAGAUACCACAAAAUUCAGAUAGCCUCUUCUCGAUUCAAUAACAAGAAGGAAAAUCUCUAAAGGACUGCAUGGCAUGCUUCAACGCCACCAUCUUAAAAAUUCACAUCCUGAAUGAUGCUGUGGCUAUGUUGAUCAUGAAAUAGAGACUUCAAAGAUCCAACUUAUAUUUUUCUUGGACAAAAUGUUUUUGAAGUUCUACUUUGAACUCCUCGCCCAAGCACUAAAAUAUGCUUGAGCUGAGAAAGAUGCGAGUGACCAGCAAGAAGCUAAAGGAAGAAGGUUCAUUAAGAAGAAACAAACUUGGAAGGAAUUAGGUAGAGCUCGUGUUGAGAAGGAAGCCCUCUGAGGACGACCAAGUCUUAAUCCAAGGAGCCUGGCCUACCAAUUUGACAACCACAGUCCCCUUUCAACCCUAUGUGUACAAAUCCUUAUGGAGACAAAAGGCA